Molecule: ribosomal RNA, 432 nt
Filed under: Triticum aestivum (bread wheat)
Lineage: Eukaryota; Viridiplantae; Streptophyta; Magnoliopsida; Poales; Poaceae
Description: partial small subunit ribosomal RNA
Source: RNAcentral
AUGAUUGUCAGGCUUCAACUGCACAACUACUGUCGAGGAUCUUGUCGCCAGCAUCGACUCCAUCCAUCUCUCGGCCGUCAUCGCAGCUUCCUGAACUGUCGAUUUGGAUGUGCUUCAUACGUGGAUAUUCUGUACAUAAAGGUUACUUGGACCAUGUUUCUUCCCCUUGUCUUUUUACUCUGGACCAUGUUUAAUAGGUUGAUUCUUCUAUCUUUAUGCAUGUCUGUCUUAAACUCAUUAUUAGUACUAUUUCAGCUGUCCUUUUCUAGAGAAUUAUCACUUGUCUAUUCAAGCAUUACACUGUACAUUAAUGCAGUCCAUAUAAUAUGGGCAGCUAGGGGCACAAUUUCAUUUCAUUGUAUAUUUUAUUAUUUUCCAUAUGACAAGCUAAUGAAUUUACUUUCAUGCAAUCGACAUGUACAUUCAGAUUAG